GACAGUGGAACUCCAUGUGUAGCGGUGAAAUGCGUAGAUAUAUGGAAGAACACCAGUGGCGAAGGCGGCUGUCUGGUCUGUAACUGACGCUGAGGCUCGAAAAGUAUGGGUAGCAAACAGGAUUAGAUACCCUGGUAGUCCAUACCGUAAACGAUGAAUGCUAAGUGUUGGAGGGUUUCCGCCCUUCAGUGCUGCAGCUAACGCAUUAAGCAUUCCGCCUGGGGAGUACGGCCGCAAGGCUGAAACUCAAAGGAAUUGACGGGGGCCCGCACAAGCGGUGGAGCAUGUGGUUUAAUUCGAAGCUACGCGAAGAACCUUACCAGGUCUUGACAUACUAUGCAAAUCUAAGAGAUUAGACGUUCCCUUCGGGGACAUGGAUACAGGUGGUGCAUGGUUGUCGUCAGCUCGUGUCGUGAGAUGUUGGGUUAAGUCCCGCAACGAGCGCAACCCUUAUUAUCAGUUGCCAGCAUUAAGUUGGGCACUCUGGUGAGACUGCCGGUGACAAACCGGAGGAAGGUGGGGAUGACGUCAAAUCAUCAUGCCCCUUAUGACCUGGGCUACACACGUGCUACAAUGGAUGGUACAACGAGUUGCGAACUCGCGAGAGUAAGCUAAUCUCUUAAAGCCAUUCUCAGUUCGGAUUGUAGGCUGCAACUCGCCUACAUGAAGUCGGAAUCGCUAGUAAUCGCGGAUCAGCAUGCCGCGGUGAAUACGUUCCCGGGCCUUGUACACAC
Molecule: ribosomal RNA, 734 nt
Filed under: Lactiplantibacillus plantarum
Lineage: Bacteria; Bacillati; Bacillota; Bacilli; Lactobacillales; Lactobacillaceae
Description: bacterial SSU rRNA
Rfam family: Bacterial small subunit ribosomal RNA
Source: RNAcentral